GGGGCGGUAGCAUAAUGGCUAAUGUAGCUUCCUGUCAAGUUGUUUAUACGGGUUCGAUUCCCGUCCGCUCCA
Molecule: transfer RNA, 72 nt
Filed under: Bacteroidota bacterium
Lineage: Bacteria; Pseudomonadati; Bacteroidota
Description: tRNA-Asp
Rfam family: tRNA
About the family: Transfer RNA (tRNA) molecules are approximately 80 nucleotides in length.
Source: RNAcentral